Molecule: ribosomal RNA, 438 nt
Filed under: uncultured bacterium
Lineage: Bacteria
Description: partial 16S ribosomal RNA
Rfam family: Bacterial small subunit ribosomal RNA
Source: RNAcentral
UAGGGAAUCUUCCACAAUGGACGCAAGUCUGAUGGAGCAACGCCGCGUGAGUGAAGAAGGCUUUCGGGUCGUAAAACUCUGUUGUUGGAGAAGAAUGGUCGGCAGAGUAACUGUUGUCGGCGUGACGGUAUCCAACCAGAAAGCCACGGCUAACUACGUGCCAGCAGCCGCGGUAAUACGUAGGUGGCAAGCGUUAUCCGGAUUUAUUGGGCGUAAAGCGAGCGCAGGCGGUUUUUUAAGUCUGAUGUGAAAGCCCUCGGCUUAACCGAGGAAGCGCAUCGGAAACUGGGAAACUUGAGUGCAGAAGAGGACAGUGGAACUCCAUGUGUAGCGGUGAAAUGCGUAGAUAUAUGGAAGAACACCAGUGGCGAAGGCGGCUGUCUGGUCUGUAACUGACGCUGAGGCUCGAAAGCGUGGGUAGCAAACAGGAUUAGAUAC